This 308-nucleotide long non-coding RNA is filed under the name Hordeum vulgare. Its description in RNAcentral is "long non-coding RNA (HVUL_LNC012434)". Lineage: Eukaryota; Viridiplantae; Streptophyta; Magnoliopsida; Poales; Poaceae. The record is from RNAcentral.
CGCGGAGUUUCAUGCCGGGGUGUUGUGAUGUCUUGUCGGGGCGUUGUGUCGGGGUGUCGGGGCAUCGUGUCGGGGUGUUGGGGCACCGUGUCGUGGUGUCAGGGUGUCAUUUUCUUGUUCCUCCUCUUCUUUUUUUCCUCUUUUUUUCCUCUGCUUCCUUUUAUUCUUCUUCCUUUUCUUCUUCUUCUUCUUCUUCUUCUUCUUCUUGUUCUUGUUCUUGUUCUUGUUCUUGUUCUUGUUCUUGUUCUUGUUGUUGUUGUUGUUCUUCUUCUUCUUCCUUCUUUUCCUUUUUCCUCUUCUUAUUCUUC